CCCAGAUAGUUUAAUCAAAACACUUAGGUCGUGACCCUAAAAACAGAGUUGCCCUCUUCUGGACU
Molecule: transfer RNA, 65 nt
Filed under: Agama boulengeri
Lineage: Eukaryota; Metazoa; Chordata; Lepidosauria; Squamata; Agamidae
Description: tRNA-His
Source: RNAcentral